CUUCUCUGUGGUAUGGAUUCUAGUAUUACUCGGAAUAAACCUUAUAGAAUUUUACUCGGUAAAAGUUUUAAAGAUAAAGCCUUCAGCUACUGCAGUUUCCACUUUGAUUUUAAGCCUGCCUCAAUCAUUCUUGAAAAAUCUUCAACCGUAAAAAUAAGAGAAAAGAGUGUCACGGUAGAAAUUCCAAACUCUCAGCAAGGCGCCGUCGGAACAAGUAUAUAUUCGGGGAACCUUUCUAAUUCCGAAAAAGAUUGUGUUUUAAUAUUUGACCCUGUUAAACAAAUAUUUACUUUAGAAAGAUCACUUUCCAAAUUUUUUUUAAAACAUAAAAGAC
This is a long non-coding RNA of Zophobas morio, 334 nucleotides long. RefSeq lists it as uncharacterized. The transcript has 3 exons. Lineage: Eukaryota; Metazoa; Arthropoda; Insecta; Coleoptera; Tenebrionidae. The record is from RefSeq and is a predicted model, not a curated record.